CUGCUCCACUAGAAGAUCUACCGAUUUUAGAGUUCUACGCAACACUAGCUCUAUGAAGUUUUCAUCCACCAGGUCUGUUCCUAACCACCUUGUCUUGUGUGAGAGACUUCUGCAACAUGUAAAUCAAUGAUGAGAGUACAGGCAAAGGUUGGCAUACAUGUCAAGAGAAUGUUCUCCAGCUGGGGCCUGCAGUACAGAGAAUUGUAUAUACCAGAGGGCUCAUGGGACUCUAGGCAGAUUAUUAUGGUAAUAUUGGAGGCUGCUGUCCUCUCCCUCCCACAGCUGGGCCGCCUCUCUCAUUGUAAGUAUUGAAGCAAUAUGUUUUGCAAAUUAUACGUUGGGAACAACAGGGACCCAGUAAAGUGAAGAAAAAGAGAAACAUUGCAAAAUGUUGCCUUUAAUAUUAUAUUUUUCUUGUUCAUCAAGCAAAAUAAAUUAAAGCUUUAAUUUUUUUUAAUUAAAUGA
Molecule: long non-coding RNA, 465 nt
Filed under: Vulpes vulpes (red fox)
Lineage: Eukaryota; Metazoa; Chordata; Mammalia; Carnivora; Canidae
Description: lncRNA (ENSVVUG00000014181.1)
Source: RNAcentral